UCGAGAAUCUUCGGCAAUGGGCGCAAGCCUGACCGAGCGACGCCGCGUGUGGGAUGAAGGCCUUCGGGUUGUAAACCGCUGUCCGUGGGGAGGAAAUGCUGGUGGGUUCUCUCAUCAGUUUGACCUAUCCGCAGAGGAAGUACGGGCUAAGUUCGUGCCAGCAGCCGCGGUAACACAAACCAUACGAACGUUAUUCGGAAUUACUGGGCUUAAAGGGUGCGGAGGCGGCUCGGAAAGGUGGGUGUGAAAGCCCUCAGCUCAACUGAGGAAUUGCGCCCAAAACUACCGAGCUCGAGGAAGACAGAGGUGAGUGGAACUUAGGGUGGAGCGGUGAAAUGCGUUGAUAUCCUAAGGAACACCAGUGGCGAAAGCGACUCACUGGGUCUUUUCUGACGCUGAGGCACGAAAGCUAGGGGAGCGAACG
This 424-nucleotide ribosomal RNA is filed under the name uncultured prokaryote. RNAcentral describes it as "bacterial SSU rRNA". It matches the Rfam family "Bacterial small subunit ribosomal RNA", at positions 355 to 774 of the family's 1533-position model. The record is from RNAcentral.